CGUAGGCGGCGCGGUAAGUCGGGUGUGAAAUCUCGGAGCUUAACUCCGAAACUGCAUUCGAUACUGCCGUGCUUGAGGACUGGAGAGGAGACUGGAAUUUACGGUGUAGCGGUGAAAUGCGUAGAUAUCGUAAGGAAGACCAGUGGCGAAGGCGGGUCUCUGGACAGUUCCUGACGCUGAGGCACGAAGGCCAGGGAGGCAAACG
This 205-nucleotide ribosomal RNA is filed under the name uncultured bacterium. RNAcentral describes it as "partial 16S ribosomal RNA". It matches the Rfam family "Bacterial small subunit ribosomal RNA", at positions 570 to 774 of the family's 1533-position model. The record is from RNAcentral.